UUUUAAAUUGAAUAGAAAUAAAAAUCAAACCCAACUGUUUGAUCCAAACCUAGGUGUUUGGAAGUUUUGCAACAUUGGUUUGAAUGCUUUCAUGAUAUAACUGAAAUUGUGGUCAGUUUAGCAACCUCCAUACAUUGUUAAACCACAUCCCAAAGCCCUUUCUUGACAAGUAUAGAUGGGCUAUCAAAAGCUCAAAGUUGAGGGAAUGACAACAGCAAACUUUGGGGGAUGGUUUAUAUGAGUCAGGAUUCAAUCAGGACACAAAAAGCACACAAUUUAAGCAGGGUAAGUUUAAUGCAAAGAAUUAUUAGCUACAGUAGGAGACUGCAAUAAGGAGGGAUUGGAUAGUAAGAAGUAAAGAGAAUGCUAAAGAAUACGAGAAAAGCAGAUAUAAGGAGGAGCCACUACGCUUAAAGUUGAGAUAGAGGACCCAAAGAAGAGGCCCCUCCCUCUCCAGGCUGAGAUCCUGACCUUAUUGGAGAGUGCACAGGCCUGCAGUUUGAGGAGAGUGUCAGAGGAAGCAGCUGUCCCCUGAAUGCUGUCUGUAUCACAGGAUCCUGGCAGUGGAGGUCAGCGGUUCUCAACCAUUUUUUCUGCCUCAACCCCAUCGGCAUCCACAAAGUAUAUGCACUAUCAUCAACAGUCUCUCUCAUGAAAUGAUUUGUAGUGGUGCAACGGCAUAGCAGAGACUGCAAGUUGUCUCUCAAAAGCCUCCCUUGCUGCGUCAUUCCCGCCCUCCCUUCCUUCCGUCCUCAGUAACAGAACACUCAGUGUUUAGCUGGGAAAUGGCUGUCCAAAAUGAAGACUAUAUUUUCCAGGCUUUCCUGCAGAAAGGCAUAAUGGGUGACUAAGUUCUGCACGAUGGGAUGUUAGUGUCCUUAAAAGUAGGAGCCAUUUCCUUCUUUCCUUUACAUUGACUGGAACAGAAUGUGAACAUAAUAAUGGUGCUCCAGCAGCCAUUUUUGACCAUAAGUGAACUUCCGAUGGGAUCCAUGCAUGGAUGGAGCGAAAAGAUAAAGACAGCCUGCAACGCUAACACUGACCAGCCUUGCCCUGACCACCUCCAGGCUUCUUGACAAGAGGGAAAUAAACUUCUAUUUUGUUCAUAUCAGUGCUAUUUUCGGUUUCUUGUAGUGAAACUGAAUCCUAAUAAAGAGUUAUAUGAGAAUUUCCAGUUUGAGGGUUGUGAGGGUUGUGUGUAGUUCAUAGUUUGAAAAAAGCCUCUCGGGGCUGGCCCUGUGGCCGAGUGGUUAAGUUCACGCACUCCGCUGCAGGUGGCCCAGUGGGUGCGGACAUGGCACUGCUCAUCAAAUCACGCU
Molecule: long non-coding RNA, 1319 nt
Filed under: Equus caballus (horse)
Lineage: Eukaryota; Metazoa; Chordata; Mammalia; Perissodactyla; Equidae
Description: lncRNA (ENSECAG00000050557.1)
Source: RNAcentral